CCGGGGUCAGUGCCGCGCGGAACCUGCGCGCAGCCCCUGUAGCCCCGCCCACUCUCCGCACGCGACCCGCCGGGUGAGCGCCGGGGAGGCCGCAGCCGAGGAGCCGCGCGGCGCGUCUCCCCCUGUCUCCGCCGUUCCAGGGUCGCUGGGAGACUAAGAGAAGCGUGUGUACGAAGUGAUCCCAGCUCCUCGCGUGACGAACUGUUCAUCGACUGGGACCAUUUACUGCACGCGGUGGCAGCUUCACCGCGGGAACGCCUCCGGCACGGAGCCCACCGCUCCCACGUCUGACCUUGCAGAGUCCGGACAAGACUGUGACUGGAUGGGAGGAAUCGACAUGGCCCAGAGAUCCAUACAUUGAUUGUUGGGUUUUACAUUUCCUUAGUUUGGGAGAGAGUGCGUCCAUCUUCUUAAAAUCAGUUACAUCUUGGGCAGAAACAGUAAGUAGCUUUUGUGAUCGUAUUAAAGCUCAAAUGUAUGUCCAGGGGUGUGUACAGAUGCUGUGUGGCUAAAGGGGAAGGCUCUACCAAUUACUAAGCUCUUCUCAGCCUCACGCCCAGUAUUUUUAACUGUUUGUGUGAUGCUGGGCACAGAACUCUGCUGACAUUUCUGCUCUGCCAGCUGGCAUCCCACUGGGCCUCUCCAGCAGGAUGCACCUGAGGGAGGCCUCAGUGCCGGAGGAAGAAAAGGGACCUGUUCCCUCCUGUCCCCAUCAGCAUCACCCCCGUGCGGCAGCAGCAGCACGUUCCCAGAGCCACAGCCAGACCCAGUCGUCACUUCUGACCCCUCUGACCCCCCCGGAGCCGCUCUGUUGUGCCCCAGGGACACCAGCACCGGGUGAGCACCCAUUCGGAGGCAGCUCUUCCUGGAGUUGCUGCUUCCUGGCUCUUCCACUGUCAAAAAUCCUAUCCUAUUGUUAACAUGACUUGCGUGGGUUCUGUCUUCUAUUUGGACCAUGACUGACAGACACAGGAAGCUUGUAUCUAUUGAAACGGAGUCCCAAGACUGUAUCGUUUAAAUCCUUCCUCAACAAUGACUGAGGCUCUGCAACAUCUCUUUCUCCCAUGGUUUUUCACAUGGGCACUUGGGGAUUUCUUCAAAUUCUAAUCCUUUGAAUUUCCUUCUGUUCCAAUAGUCCUUCACCCCAAGCUGAGAAUUAAAAUAACCUGUAUUUGGAUAUUAAAAUUUUAAAUUGAGAAUAUUUUUAGAACACAUGUCAAGGAUACUGCAUUGUCUGAACUGUCCUACACGUUUUGUGCCGGAAUGGACUUAAAAGAGCCACGCACGCAAGAGCAGAAUUCGCAGCAACCACCGCCAGUGCCCCCAUUUCCCUUCAUUAAGAGUCCACAACCUGGUUCUUGCGGAUAGUUUUCAUUUAUUACUGCAGUAGACAAUCGCUCUGAAAGUGCAACACUAAAUCACUUUGUCACAGCCUCUGCCCCUCCACUGGCAAAUUCUUGGAAGUUCAUUCUUGGAGCAUCGCGGACCAUAAGCUUCUCUCUAGGUGGAUAAUUAUUGCCACUGCCAAGGUCACAGGAAAAAAAAAAAAAACCCACACACAUGAAUAGAAGGAUAAAAUGAGAAGAGCCCUCGAGAGUAGGGGCCAAUUUCAAACGGAAAAUCCAGCAGAGGGCUCAGGGGACAACAGCCCACCUGUGCCAAGUGGAAGGUGACUCCCCAUCUCCAGGCAGCAACCUACCAUGUUGGUGAGGUUGGUCUGGGCGCACCUUUUGCCCACUUUGUCCCCAGAGUAGGUGAUACCAUAAUCACUGCCGUGUCAUACUGCAGUGUAGCAGAGGCCCAUGGAGUCAAAAGGAAGUAAAAGGACCUCUCAAGCCAGUCUGGAAAAUGGGUGGUUUGGCUAAACUGACUCUUCAACCUCCCACUUAAAACUGCUGGACAGAAUAUCCGGGAGAGCCCUGUGGGUAAGACACUGCCUGAGAGAAAUAACUCUUGUUCUGACCAGCACAGGGCCAGCAUCUUUUGAUGGGAAAAGAUAACUUUCAAAUACUGCAAUGCCAAGGAAGAAGGAAAACAUGAGCAGUUCUAGAAAACACGAGAGAUUAAAAAAUCUGAACGAGACAAAAAAAAAAAAA
Molecule: long non-coding RNA, 2096 nt
Organism: Acinonyx jubatus (cheetah)
Lineage: Eukaryota; Metazoa; Chordata; Mammalia; Carnivora; Felidae
Exons: 3
Source: RefSeq, a predicted model, not a curated record